This 468-nucleotide ribosomal RNA is filed under the name uncultured bacterium. RNAcentral's name for it is "partial 16S ribosomal RNA". It matches the Rfam family "Bacterial small subunit ribosomal RNA", at positions 28 to 507 of the family's 1533-position model. The record is from RNAcentral.
GACGAACGCUGGCGGCGUGCUUAACACAUGCAAGUCGAACGGAAAGGCCCUGCUUUUGUGGGGUGCUCGAGUGGCGAACGGGUGAGUAACACGUGAGUAACCUGCCCUUUACUUUGGGAUAUCUUCAGGAAACUGGGGCUAAUACCGGAUUGGAGCUCCUGCUGCAUGGUGGGGGUUGGAAAGUUUCGGCGGUUGGGGAUGGACGCGCGGGUUAUCAGCUUGUUGGGUGGGUGGUGGCUUACGAAGUGUUUGGCGGGUAGUCGGCCUGGGAGGGUGACCGGCCACAUUGGGACUGAGAGACGGCCCAGAGUCCUACGGGAGGCAGCAGGGGGGAAUAUUGCACAAUGGGCGGAAGCCUGAUGCAGCAACGCCGCGUGCGGGAUGACGGCCUUCGGGUUGUAAACCGCUUUCGCCUGUGACGAAGCGUGAGUGACGGUAAUGGGUAAAGAAGCACCGGCUAACUACGUG